RNAcentral lists this ribosomal RNA (236 nucleotides) under Staphylococcus aureus. Its description in RNAcentral is "partial 16S ribosomal RNA". It matches the Rfam family "Bacterial small subunit ribosomal RNA", at positions 1299 to 1533 of the family's 1533-position model. The record is from RNAcentral. Lineage: Bacteria; Bacillati; Bacillota; Bacilli; Caryophanales; Staphylococcaceae.
UGUAGUCUGCAACUCGACUACAUGAAGCUGGAAUCGCUAGUAAUCGUAGAUCAGCAUGCUACGGUGAAUACGUUCCCGGGUCUUGUACACACCGCCCGUCACACCACGAGAGUUUGUAACACCCGAAGCCGGUGGAGUAACCUUUUAGGAGCUAGCCGUCGAAGGUGGGACAAAUGAUUGGGGUGAAGUCGUAACAAGGUAGCCGUAUCGGAAGGUGCGGCUGGAUCACCUCCUUU